CAUCAUCCCAUCGGAUAGAGAUGUUAUUGAUCUGUCUCCGACUGAGAGAGAAAUAUCCGAGGUGUGUUUCCAGGCAACACCAUCCCUCCGUACCUUUACACAAAUAAUACAACACUCACUUUCCAGAUAAAACACAUUCUCAAAGCCCAUUUCAGACAUAUUUCACAAUUAUUAUAUCACAUAUAACUGAAAAUUUCAAAGGCAAGUCUGCAUUAUUGUGAGUCACAGUAACAAUACUAUCUAGUAUUGAUCAAACAACCGUUUCUAUGCUACUGUUGACUGCUGAAGCUUAUUUUGUCUGAGUUAUGUGUUGGUGUGAUAGUGGGGUUGUGCAGGUGUGUCACGCUUGGGUGACACCACCUGUCUAUGUGUUACAUGCAUGGGUGAAUGUGCAUAUGCUUAUAGCUGUUGUUGUAACAGUUGGUUCCUACUGUUUUAAGUAUAUGUCCGUGAUAUUCAUGUGUUUUAUCACUGAUUGUGAAAGAGAAUUUGAGAAGAGCUUUUGUUAAUUAGCUAUUGUUUGCUGAUUAUGCUUUUGAUUUGUUAUUUUUGAGAUAAUCCUGUGAUAAUUCUAUAUAUAUCGACGCUCCCUGUAUGUGGAAUAUCAAUAUAUUGCUUUUCGCUGUGUGCGUGACAAAGUCGGUACCAGGGAUAAUAAACGGGGAGACAAAAGGAUCAUUAUCGACACGGUCGUCUUUGAGGUAACUCGUUUUAUUAACAUCCGAAUCAAACGU
Molecule: long non-coding RNA, 734 nt
Organism: Zerene cesonia (dogface butterfly)
Lineage: Eukaryota; Metazoa; Arthropoda; Insecta; Lepidoptera; Pieridae
Exons: 2
Source: RefSeq, a predicted model, not a curated record